CCGAGUUUACAACUCCCAAACCCCUGUGAACAUACCUAUACGUUGCCUCGGCGGAUCAGCCCGCGCCCCGUAAAAAGGGACGGCCCGUCCGAGGACCCCUAAACUCUGUUUUUAGUGGAACUUCUGAGUAAAACAAACAAAUAAAUCA
RNAcentral lists this unclassified non-coding RNA (148 nucleotides) under soil metagenome. RNAcentral's name for it is "partial internal transcribed spacer 1". The record is from RNAcentral.